This 447-nucleotide ribosomal RNA is filed under the name Canthidium haroldi. RNAcentral's name for it is "partial 16S ribosomal RNA". Lineage: Eukaryota; Metazoa; Arthropoda; Insecta; Coleoptera; Scarabaeidae. The record is from RNAcentral.
CAUGUCUUUAAGAUUAUAAUUUAAAGUCUGACCUGCCCUAUGAAUUAUUUUUAAAUGGCUGCGGUAUCUUGACCGUGCAAAGGUAGCAUAAUAAUUAGUUUUUUAAUUGAGAACUGGUAUGAAAGGUUUGACGAGAAAAAGACUGUCUCAAUUUAAAUUUAAUUAGAAUUUUAUAUUUAAGUAAAAAAGCUUAAAUAUUCUUAAAAGACGAGAAGACCCUAUAGAGUUUUAUAUAAAUUAUUAUAGUUAAAAGUUUAAGUAUUAUAAAUUUAAUUAUUAUAGUUUAUAUUUGGUUGGGGCAAUUAAGAAAUUUAAUAAAUUUUUUUUAUUUAUUUACAUUGAUAUAUGAAUAAGUGAUCCAUAUAAUUAUGAUUAUAAGAUUAAAUUACCUUAGGGAUAACAGCGUAAUUUUUUUUAGAGUUCUUAUUGAAAAAAAAGUUUGCGACC